This 350-nucleotide ribosomal RNA is filed under the name Pantoea agglomerans. Its description in RNAcentral is "bacterial SSU rRNA". It matches the Rfam family "Bacterial small subunit ribosomal RNA", at positions 78 to 428 of the family's 1533-position model. Lineage: Bacteria; Pseudomonadati; Pseudomonadota; Gammaproteobacteria; Enterobacterales; Erwiniaceae. The record is from RNAcentral.
GCUUGCUCCUUGGGUGACGAGUGGCGGACGGGUGAGUAAUGUCUGGGGAUCUGCCCGAUAGAGGGGGAUAACCACUGGAAACGGUGGCUAAUACCGCAUAACGUCGCAAGACCAAAGAGGGGGACCUUCGGGCCUCUCACUAUCGGAUGAACCCAGAUGGGAUUAGCUAGUAGGCGGGGUAAUGGCCCACCUAGGCGACGAUCCCUAGCUGGUCUGAGAGGAUGACCAGCCACACUGGAACUGAGACACGGUCCAGACUCCUACGGGAGGCAGCAGUGGGGAAUAUUGCACAAUGGGCGCAAGCCUGAUGCAGCCAUGCCGCGUGUAUGAAGAAGGCCUUCGGGUUGUAA